Molecule: ribosomal RNA, 625 nt
Filed under: Bradyrhizobium japonicum
Lineage: Bacteria; Pseudomonadati; Pseudomonadota; Alphaproteobacteria; Hyphomicrobiales; Nitrobacteraceae
Description: bacterial SSU rRNA
Rfam family: Bacterial small subunit ribosomal RNA
Source: RNAcentral
AGUCGAGCGGGCGUAGCAAUACGUCAGCGGCAGACGGGUGAGUAACGCGUGGGAACGUACCUUUUGGUUCGGAACAACACAGGGAAACUUGUGCUAAUACCGGAUAAGCCCUUACGGGGAAAGAUUUAUCGCCGAAAGAUCGGCCCGCGUCUGAUUAGCUAGUUGGUGAGGUAAUGGCUCACCAAGGCGACGAUCAGUAGCUGGUCUGAGAGGAUGAUCAGCCACAUUGGGACUGAGACACGGCCCAAACUCCUACGGGAGGCAGCAGUGGGGAAUAUUGGACAAUGGGGGCAACCCUGAUCCAGCCAUGCCGCGUGAGUGAUGAAGGCCCUAGGGUUGUAAAGCUCUUUUGUGCGGGAAGAUAAUGACGGUACCGCAAGAAUAAGCCCCGGCUAACUUCGUGCCAGCAGCCGCGGUAAUACGAAGGGGGCUAGCGUUGCUCGGAAUCACUGGGCGUAAAGGGUGCGUAGGCGGGUCUUUAAGUCAGGGGUGAAAUCCUGGAGCUCAACUCCAGAACUGCCUUUGAUACUGAAGAUCUUGAGUUCGGGAGAGGUGAGUGGAACUGCGAGUGUAGAGGUGAAAUUCGUAGAUAUUCGCAAGAACACCAGUGGCGAAGGCGGCUCAC